Molecule: non-coding RNA, 75 nt
Organism: Parelaphostrongylus tenuis
Lineage: Eukaryota; Metazoa; Nematoda; Chromadorea; Rhabditida; Metastrongylidae
Source: the annotation of a GenBank genome assembly
GCAUCAGUGGUGCAGCGGGUUAGAGCACGCACUCCCAGAUAGAGUGAGAUGGGGGUUCGAGUCCCUGCUGACGCA